AACAAUUAAUGAAUGGCAGACCAACGUUUCUUUCUACAUUCUCUCUACCUGCAAGUCAAAACAUAUGUCCAAAAACCCUAACUUUCCUUUCAAAUUUCAAAUGCCCUUUUUUUCAUUUUCGUUCUCUCUCUCCCUCAAAUCCAGAUCCAAAUGAAAUUUUCGUUCUCUCUCUCCAGGCGAUUUUGUAGAUUGUAGAUCUAGGGUUUCUGGCAUCUUCAAGGUGGGUUUAUGGCAUUUUCAGAUCUCACAAAACUUCAUCAUCAAGAAUAUCAUUCAAGAUCUCUCACCAGAUGCCGUUUCAUGACCAGAUCUGUGAGGAUUUCACCAGAUCGAUGAAGGUCUGCAACCCUUGGGGGACGGGAGAGAGUGACGGUGGUGAUGAUCCGGUUACAGGCUUCUAUACGGUGUGACAGUGGUGGUCCUUAACAGCCACCAUACAUUGUUGACGGUUCCAUGGUUAAAAUGAGGAGAAAGACAAUGCCAGAAAACCGUAGCCGCCGCUUCCCGCGGUGGUAGCUAGGGUUCCGGCGAAGUCUCCAACGAAGCUCCGAGUUGAUACUUUCAAGAUUGAUCAUCUUCAUACGAGGCUGCUGCUGACUGCAAAAGGUCCUAAACGGUUAAUGAAAAAGGGUGAAACAAGAGAAAAAGGGUUUGCUCACCCUCUGCAGACGGCAGGCUAUUCUCUUUCUAAAAUAAUUCGAUGGUUCUGCCCUUCUAAAAUGAAUUUGCAUUAUAUUUACUCACUUGUGCAGGAGUGUCUAAAUCUCUCAUGGUGGGUUGAAAUUUGAAUGUUUGGUGUUUGAUUUAGGAGGUGGUAUGUUUGGUGUUUGAAAGGCACCCAUUUUCAAUGACGUAUGCCCCGGAUGAUGAUUACCUGAGUGUACAUAUCCGGACUCUUGGUGAUUGGACUAUACAACUAGGAACCGUCUUUUCUAAGGUAUGUCAGCCUCGACAUAGUGGAAAAAGUGGGCUUCUUAGAGCUGAUUGCCAAGGAGAAAAUCCAAAGGAAGUGUUUUUGAACCAUUUAUUCAAACAUUCAUAAUUCAAUAAAACAUUUGUAGAAACAUAUUUAAGUCUUUUAGGACAUAAAUCUAUUAAUUAAAAUUAAAUUUUUCUACCCGCGAAGCUCGCGGGCUCUAA
Long non-coding RNA from Helianthus annuus (common sunflower), 1140 nucleotides. RefSeq lists it as uncharacterized. The record is from RefSeq and is a predicted model, not a curated record. Lineage: Eukaryota; Viridiplantae; Streptophyta; Magnoliopsida; Asterales; Asteraceae. The transcript is spliced from 6 exons.